RNAcentral lists this ribosomal RNA (305 nucleotides) under uncultured bacterium. Its description in RNAcentral is "bacterial SSU rRNA". It matches the Rfam family "Bacterial small subunit ribosomal RNA", at positions 335 to 655 of the family's 1533-position model. The record is from RNAcentral.
GGCCUACGGGGCGCAGCAGUGGGGAAUAUUGGGCAAUGGGCGCAAGCCUGACCCAGCAACGCCGCGUGAAGGAAGAAGGCUUUCGGGUUGUAAACUUCUUUUGUCAGGGACGAAGCAAGUGACGGUACCUGACGAAUAGGCCACGGCUAACUACGUGCCAGCAGUCGCGGUAAUACGUAGGUGGCAAGCGUUAUCCGGAAUUAUUGGGUGUAAAGGGUGCGUAGGCGGGAUGUAAAGUCAGAUGUGAAAUGCCGCAGCUUAACUGCGGAGCUGCAUUUGAAACUUAUGUUCUUGAGUGAAGUAGA